AUUCAAAUAGCUUAUAUAAUAGAGCACAGCACUGAAGAUGCUGGGGAGACACAUUAUGUCUUUGAAUA
RNAcentral lists this transfer RNA (68 nucleotides) under Gymnopternus congruens. RNAcentral describes it as "tRNA-Phe". Lineage: Eukaryota; Metazoa; Arthropoda; Insecta; Diptera; Dolichopodidae. The record is from RNAcentral.